RNAcentral lists this non-coding RNA (75 nucleotides) under Streptomyces scopuliridis RB72. Lineage: Bacteria; Bacillati; Actinomycetota; Actinomycetes; Kitasatosporales; Streptomycetaceae. The record is from RNAcentral.
CUUCACCGAGCCGAGGAGCAGCGGGCGCUCCGGGUCACGAUCGCGCCCGUACUCGGCCAGGAGCGCCUGCGCCUC